Nelumbo nucifera (sacred lotus) is the source of this 695-nucleotide non-coding RNA. NCBI's taxonomy places the organism in Eukaryota, Viridiplantae, Streptophyta, Magnoliopsida, Proteales, Nelumbonaceae. The record is from RefSeq and is a predicted model, not a curated record.
ACCCCAAUGACAGUCAACACCGAUUUACUUUUCCAGGAUAUAGAGUAAGAAGCACUAUCUCGGAGGUACUCUCAAUGAAUCAUGAGAAAGGAAACUCCAAGCUUGCAUGACACGCUUUACCAGAAACAGAGAGCAGCUUCGAUAGACCAAAGUUUCCAGAGGUCUGCCAGUCCUCCAAAUCCAGAAAUUCCUCCGAUGAUGAGUCAGAAGCCUCGACAGAUAAUUUGAAGGGAGCAAACCAAGGUGAAGAAUAGGGUAAUAUACAGGUUCGAAUCCGGGUUUAAUGAUAGUGCCCAUGGGAACUAACACAGACCUGAACCCGAGGAUUUAUAACACUCCAUUAAGAGCUUUUGAGGUCGGAAAAUCUAUGACUGUGAAGAGAGGAAGGGAACCAUUUGUUGAGUUACAAGAGGCCUCUGCAACCCAGACAAAAGCAAAAAAGGUUGGGGAUCGGAGAUGAAGACAACCUUGAUGGAAUAGAAAAGGUCGUUCUCAAGUUCUUCAACAAUGACUUAGGUCAGUCCCCAACAAAGGCAAUCCAGUUGAGCUCGCUAGCGUCAGAUCAAGUUUUGUUGGUGCUCUAGGAACACGAAUUUGGCAGCUCAUGCGGCAGCCAAGUCUGGUUUUGUUUCUUGCUGUAAGUCCUGUAAUGCUAUCUCUAUCAAGCUCUCUACUCCCAUUUGUUGGGACUUUUU